UGGGGAAUUGUUCGCAAUGGGCGCAAGCCUGACGACGCAACGCCGCGUGGAGGAUGAAGAUCUUCGGGUCGUAAACUCCUGUCGAGUGGGAAGAACAGCUUCGGGGCUAACAUCCCCCGGAGCCUGACAGUACCACUAAAGGAAGCCCCGGCUAACUCCGUGCCAGCAGCCGCGGUAAUACGGGGGGGGCAAGCGUUGUUCGGAAUUACUGGGCGUAAAGGGCUCGUAGGCGGCCAACUAAGUCGGAUGUGAAAUCCCCAGGCUCAACCUGGGAACUGCAUCCGAUACUGGAUGGCUUGAAUUCGGGAGAGGGAUGCAGAAUUCCAGGUGUAGCGGUGAAAUGCGUAGAUAUCUGGAGGAAUACCGGUGGCGAAGGCGGCAUCCUGGACCGACAUUGACGCUGAGGAGCGAAAGCCAGGGGGAGCAAACGGGAUUAGAUACCCCGGUAGUCCUGGCCCUAAACGAUGAAUGCUUGGUGUGACGGGUAUCGAUCCCUGUCGUGCCGAAG
RNAcentral lists this ribosomal RNA (508 nucleotides) under uncultured Acidobacteriota bacterium. Its description in RNAcentral is "bacterial SSU rRNA". It matches the Rfam family "Bacterial small subunit ribosomal RNA", at positions 355 to 851 of the family's 1533-position model. The record is from RNAcentral. Lineage: Bacteria; Pseudomonadati; Acidobacteriota.